GACGAACGCUGGCGGCGUGCUUAACACAUGCAAGUCGAACGGAAAGGCCCUGCUUUUGUGGGGUGCUCGAGUGGCGAACGGGUGAGUAACACGUGAGUAACCUGCCCUUGACUUUGGGAUAACUUCAGGAAACUGGGGCUAAUACCGGAUAUGAGCUCCUGCUGCAUGGUGGGGGUUGGAAAGUUUCGGCGGUUGGGGAUGGACUCGCGGCUUAUCAGCUUGUUGGUGGGGUAGUGGCUUACCAAGGCUUUGACGGGUAGCCGGCCUGAGAGGGUGACCGGCCACAUGGGGACUGAGAUACGGCCCAGACUCCUACGGGAGGCAGAAGUGGGGAAUAUUGCACAAUGGGAGGAAGCCUGAUGCAGCAACGCCGCGUGCGGGAUGACGGCCUUCGGGUUGUAAACCGCUUUCGCCUGUGACGAAGCGUGAGUGACGGUAAUGGGUAAAGAAGCACCGGCUAACUACGUG
This 468-nucleotide ribosomal RNA is filed under the name uncultured bacterium. RNAcentral's name for it is "partial 16S ribosomal RNA". It matches the Rfam family "Bacterial small subunit ribosomal RNA", at positions 28 to 507 of the family's 1533-position model. The record is from RNAcentral.